This 253-nucleotide unclassified non-coding RNA is filed under the name uncultured Caryophanaceae bacterium. RNAcentral describes it as "uncultured Planococcaceae bacterium contains 16S-23S intergenic spacer region". It matches the Rfam family "Bacterial small subunit ribosomal RNA", at positions 524 to 776 of the family's 1533-position model. Lineage: Bacteria; Bacillati; Bacillota; Bacilli; Caryophanales; Caryophanaceae. The record is from RNAcentral.
UACGUAGGUGGCAAGCGUUGUCCGGAAUUAUUGGGCUUAAAGCGCGCGCAGGCGGUCCUUUAAGUCUGCGGUGAAAGCCCACGGCUCAACCGUGGAGGGUCAGUGGAAACUGCAGGACUUGAGUGCAGAAGAGGAAAGUGGAAUUCCUUGUGUAGCGGUGAAAUGCGUAGAGAUGUGGCGGAACACCAGUGGCGAAGGCGACUUUCUGGUCUGUAACUGACGCUGAGGCGCGAAAGCGUGGGGAGCAAACAGG